Molecule: ribosomal RNA, 372 nt
Filed under: uncultured Rhizophagus
Lineage: Eukaryota; Fungi; Glomeromycota; Glomeromycetes; Glomerales; Glomeraceae
Description: LSU rRNA
Source: RNAcentral
UUGAAAGGGAAACGAUUGAAGUCAGUCGUACCUUCGGGUAAUCAGCCUUUCGGGUGCGAUUCUGUGGAGCGUGAGGAGUUAAACGCCUUCAUGCCUGCAUAUUCGUGCACCUUGGGUGUACUUGCCCGUGUGGUAGGUUAACAUCAAUUUCGGAUGUCAUAAAAUGGCUGGAGGAAUGUAGCUUCGGUCUCGUACUGAAGUGUUAUAGCCUUUGGUAGAUGUGAUGACCGGGAUUGAGGAUUGCAACGAAUACCUUUUGGGCUACCCGCCUGAUCUCUGAAAGUUGCUCUGGUGCCGAAAGCGUGCUUACGGUUAUCAAAGUUGACGUUCAAAAGGUUAGAACGGGUUAAAUUCGUUAAGGAUGUUGACGUA